AGCGAACGCUGGCGGCAGGCUUAACACAUGCAAGUCGAGCGGGCGUAGCAAUACGUCAGCGGCAGACGGGUGAGUAACGCGUGGGAACAUACCUUUUGGUUCGGAACAACACAGGGAAACUUGUGCUAAUACCGGAUAAGCCCUUACGGGGAAAGAUUUAUCGCCGAAAGAUUGGCCCGCGUCUGAUUAGCUAGUUGGUGAGGUAACGGCUCACCAAGGCGACGAUCAGUAGCUGGCUGAGAGGAUGAUCAGCCACAUUGGGACUGAGACACGGCCCAAACUCCUACGGGAGGCAGCAGUGGGGAAUAUUGGACAAUGGGCGAAAGCCUGAUCCAGCCAUGCCGCGUGAGUGAUGAAGCCCUAGGGUUGUAAAGCUCUUUUGUGCGGGAAGAUAAUGACGGUACCGCAAG
Molecule: ribosomal RNA, 410 nt
Filed under: uncultured bacterium
Lineage: Bacteria
Description: bacterial SSU rRNA
Rfam family: Bacterial small subunit ribosomal RNA
Source: RNAcentral